This 75-nucleotide transfer RNA is filed under the name Natrinema thermophila. RNAcentral describes it as "Natrinema sp. CBA1119 tRNA-Met". It matches the Rfam family "tRNA". Rfam says of the family: Transfer RNA (tRNA) molecules are approximately 80 nucleotides in length. The record is from RNAcentral. Lineage: Archaea; Methanobacteriati; Methanobacteriota; Halobacteria; Halobacteriales; Natrialbaceae.
GGGCCUUUAGCUUAGUCUGGUGAGAGCCCUCGGCUCAUAACCGAGUGGUCACUGGUUCAAAUCCGGUAAGGCCCA